Molecule: ribosomal RNA, 492 nt
Filed under: uncultured bacterium
Lineage: Bacteria
Description: partial 16S ribosomal RNA
Rfam family: Bacterial small subunit ribosomal RNA
Source: RNAcentral
GGUGAACGCUGGCGGUAGGCCUAACACAUGCAAGUCGAACGACAGCACAGUAAGAUCUUGCUCUUAAGGGUGGCGAGUGACGGACGGGUGAGGAAUAGAUCGGAAUCUACUUUUUCGUGGGGAAUAACGUAGGGACACUUACGAUAAUACCGAAUACGACCUACGGGAGAAAGCAAUGGAUCUUCGCACCUUGCGCGAUUGAAUGAGCCGAUGUCGGAUUAGCUAGUUGGCGGGGUAAGGGAACACCAAGGCGACGAUACGUAGCUGGGCUGAGAGGAUGAUCAGCCACACUGGAACUGAGACACGGUCCAGACUCCUACGGGAGGCAGCAGUGGGGAAUAUUGCACAAUGGGCGCAAGCCUGAUGCAGCCAUGCCGCGUGGGUGAAGAAGGCCUUCGGGUCGUAAAGCUCUUUUAUUGGGAAAGAACAGCUGUGUGUUAAUAUAUCGACGUCUUGACGGUACCCAAUCAAUAAGCACCGGCUAACUUCGUG